UACGGGGGGGGCAAGCGUUGUUCGGAAUUACUGGGCGUAAAGGGUUCGUAGGUGGCUUGCUAAGUCAGACGUGAAAUCCCUCAGCUUAACUGGGGAACUGCGUCUGAUACUGGCGAGCUUGAGUGCAGGAGAGGAACGCGGAAUUCCAGGUGUAGCGGUGAAAUGCGUUGAUAUCCUUAGGAACUCCGGUGGCGAAGGCGGCACGCUGGACCUCUUCUGACGCUGAGGCGCGAAAGCCAGGGGAGCAAACAGG
Molecule: ribosomal RNA, 253 nt
Filed under: uncultured bacterium
Lineage: Bacteria
Description: partial 16S ribosomal RNA
Rfam family: Bacterial small subunit ribosomal RNA
Source: RNAcentral